GACGAACGCUGGCGGCGUGCUUAACACAUGCAAGUCGAACGGAAAGGCCUGCUUUCCCUUGUGGAUUGCGGGUACUCGAGUGGCGAACGGGUGAGUAACACGUGAGUGAUCUGCCCCCAACUUGGGUAUAAGCCUGGGAAACUGGGUCUAAUUCCCGAUAGGACUGCAGGGUGGUGCCUGUGGUGGAAAACGAUUUUCUAGUGGUUGGGGAUGAGCUCGCGGCCUAUCAGCUUGUUGGUGGGGUAAUGACCUACCAAGGCAGCGACGGGUAGCCGGCCUGAGAGGGUGGACGGCCACAUUGGGACUGAGAUACGGCCCAGACUCCUACGGGAGGCAGCAGUGGGGAAUAUUGCACAAUGGGCGGAAGCCUGAUGCAGCGACGCCGCGUGGGGGAUGACGGCCUUCGGGUUGUAAACUCCUUUCGACCGCGAGGAAGCCACCUGGUUGGAAGGGUGGUGACGGUAGUGGUAGAAGAAGCACCGGCUAACUACGUG
This 494-nucleotide ribosomal RNA is filed under the name uncultured bacterium. RNAcentral describes it as "partial 16S ribosomal RNA". It matches the Rfam family "Bacterial small subunit ribosomal RNA", at positions 28 to 507 of the family's 1533-position model. The record is from RNAcentral.